GUGGGUCGAUGAAGAACGCAGCCAACUGCGAUAAAUAGUGUGAACUGCAGAAACCUUGAACACAAAACAUUCGAAUGCGCAUUGCGCCACCGGAGUAACAUCAGGUGGCACGUCUGGCUCAGGGU
This 125-nucleotide ribosomal RNA is filed under the name Rotylenchulus reniformis. Its description in RNAcentral is "partial 5.8S ribosomal RNA". It matches the Rfam family "5.8S ribosomal RNA", at positions 33 to 152 of the family's 154-position model. Rfam says of the family: 5.8S ribosomal RNA (5.8S rRNA) is a component of the large subunit of the eukaryotic ribosome. Lineage: Eukaryota; Metazoa; Nematoda; Chromadorea; Rhabditida; Hoplolaimidae. The record is from RNAcentral.